RNAcentral lists this ribosomal RNA (656 nucleotides) under uncultured bacterium. RNAcentral's name for it is "bacterial SSU rRNA". It matches the Rfam family "Bacterial small subunit ribosomal RNA", at positions 28 to 663 of the family's 1533-position model. The record is from RNAcentral.
AUUGAACGCUGGCGGCAGGCCUAACACAUGCAAGUCGAGCGGAAACGAGUUAUCUGAACCUUCGGGGAACGAUAACGGCGUCGAGCGGCGGACGGGUGAGUAAUGCCUGGGAAAUUGCCCUGAUGUGGGGGAUAACCAUUGGAAACGAUGGCUAAUACCGCAUAAUAGCUUCGGCUCAAAGAGGGGGACCUUCGGGCCUCUCGCGUCAGGAUAUGCCCAGGUGGGAUUAGCUAGUUGGUGAGGCAAGGGCUCACCAAGGCGACGAUCCCUAGCUGGUCUGAGAGGAUGAUCAGCCACACUGGAACUGAGACACGGUCCAGACUCCUACGGGAGGCAGCAGUGGGGGAUAUUGCACAAUGGGCGCAAGCCUGAUGCAGCCAUGCCGCGUGUAUGAAGAAGGCCUUCGGGUUGUAAAGUACUUUCAGCAGUGAGGAAGGGGUGUCCGUUAAUAGCGUGCAUCUUUGACGUUAGCUGCAGAAGAAGCACCGGCUAACUCCGUGCCAGCAGCCGCGGUAAUACGGAGGGUGCGAGCGCUAAUCGGAAUUACUGGGCGUAAAGCGCAUGCAGGUGGUUUGUUAAGUCAGAUGUGAAAGCCCGGGGCUCAACCUCGGAAUUGCAUUUGAAACUGGCAGACUAGAGUACUGUAGAGGGGGGUA